Long non-coding RNA from Chinchilla lanigera (long-tailed chinchilla), 2204 nucleotides. The record is from Ensembl. Lineage: Eukaryota; Metazoa; Chordata; Mammalia; Rodentia; Chinchillidae.
UAGUCUACCUGGUCGGUCUGAUGGCUUAAACAACAGGAGCUCAUUUUAUCACAGUCUGGAGGAUAGAAGACCAAGAUCAAGAUGCUAGCAGUGAGGAGGCAUAGCUCUGAGAAGGGAACACAAAAGUUCUGUGGGCAAACCUCACCGCCAACCCAUUGGCCGAGAACACCCACCGCUGAGGAGAGAAAAUCUGGGAGGAUCCACGGAGUUGGAAUUUCUGAAAGUCAAAAGGAUGGGAAAGGAGAGCAAGAGAGGGGAGAAGCCCGGGAGCCAUAACAGGCAGAAACUGGGAAGAGAUAAAGCUUUCAAAAUUGACUGGGGCCUCAAGACAGUGUUAACAACAUCAUGCACAUUGCCUUCAUUUCAUGACCCUGCUCGAAUGUGUAUUGUACCAAUUCAUUCAUUCGUUCAUUCACCCAUUUAAGAGGUAGUGCCUGAACCCUCUGUAUGCCACUGACAUUGUUCUAGUUACCAACAGUGCAAGGAUGAGUCAGAAGGACAAGGAAGUCUCUUAGACCCUAACUGAUGGUGGAUAGGUGAGAUCUGUGAAAGCAGACAUAAUUACACCAUGGACUUGUCUCAAGAGCUCUAUGAGGGAUAGGCUAUUUCCCUCAUUUUAGAGAUACAGGCAAAAUCUCAGGAAAGUUAUAUACAUUCUCAGAUAUUCCAUUGUGUGCAUAGCCAAACCAAGGUUUCAACCCAGUUUAGCCCAGUGUUCAAAAAUUUUUCGUCUUCAUUAUUACAGAGGAAAUGUGGGAGGAGUGAAGUCUGAAUUCCAGCUCUGUGGGUCCUAGGAGACCUGAGGGGCCUUGGGGAUGUGUAUUAGGAGCUGUCAGUCAAAAUAUAUGGAACACCAGACAGCAUUGGGCCUCCUUUUGCUUGGGGCUGCCCUAGGAUAUCUAUCAACUGAGGUUGGAAGGAACCGUCUGGCUACUUACAGCCUGACUUUGUUUUCCCUUUGAGUGGGUUCUUCAAAUAUCUCAUAAUGUGUUUUCACCAAUUAAUAAAUUGAUCCAUAUUGCUUCAAUGUUUGCAAAGCAUCCACAUUCAAUAACUCUAUGAGGUUGGCAUGGGAUGGGUUAUCACCCCUAGUGGACAUAUCAGGGAGUAGGGCUCAGAGAUGUCAACCUAUUGAAAACUACAACUGGGAAGCAGCAAAGAGCAGAACUGCACCCUAGGUCUUCUGACUUUGCUAUGCCUAAGAUGUCUCAGCCCCCAUGAACAAUGGAAGCUGGAUAGAGUUGUAAAGGUCCUCUUCCUCAUUUUAUAGAUGAGGAUGCUAGAAAGGCUAAGUUCCUAGGCCAAGGGCACCAGCUGGCCCAUACCAACAUUCUUUCCCCGACAAGGAGCCACCUCCCAUUAAUCUUGGGUAGGCCUGUUCUAACUGCUAUUCAGGUCUCUGUCCCUAAGAAGCAAAUCAGAAUAUUCAUGAAACCUUUGGAAAUCAUUUCAAGGUCAAACACAAGGAGAUAUGUAAGUGGGUGUGGAGAUCUCAGAGGAAGAAAGUGAAGUCUAAGCAUAAUCUCUGCAGGGUGAACGUCCUCAGGCUCUAUAGGAAGCAGAGCCCUUACAAAGGACGGGAGGUUUCCUUGAACAACCAAAAGAGAAGAUCUUUACUUUCCCAGAGACGAAGGAUAAGGUCAAAUUUCGUCCUCUGCUGCCCAUAGAUCUUAUCUGGGUGGGAUUGUAUCAAAUAAAUAAUGUAUCAGAAGAUUCCUCCCCUGUUACAUUAGCCCCAUCAGGAGCCAGAGCACAGCCUGGGUGUGUGAUAAGUGGUAAUAAAUGGCAGUGCUUGUCGGUGGAAAUUUUUCUGGCAAAUUUCCGAACCAGAUUAAAAAGUAAAUUAGAUUUCUUCUGAAGAGUUAUUUUCAAGGGUUUUUAUCCACUGACGUGUGUAUGCAAGAUUGCAGCUUUGCCAAAGGGGAGAGAACAAAGCUAGAAAAAAAAUAAAAAUAAAAUAAAAAUCAGCACGCAAUUAUCUGUCUGAACAAGGCUAUUGCUGGGAAGGCACCUAAUCAGAGAUGUCUCAAAUUUGCUUAAAAUACAAUGUGCAAUAUAAAAUGUAUUUAUAAUGUGCCUCUUAUGCUCCAAUAAAAUUGUUACCAGGACCAGACAAUUGCAGGAGACAGAGGUUGUAAAAUGGAAUGGAUAGAAUCAAAUCAGUUAUUAAUAAUAGCUGAAUAAAAUACAGCUUUGUGGAUGGG